This 492-nucleotide ribosomal RNA is filed under the name uncultured bacterium. RNAcentral's name for it is "partial 16S ribosomal RNA". It matches the Rfam family "Bacterial small subunit ribosomal RNA", at positions 29 to 507 of the family's 1533-position model. The record is from RNAcentral.
AGUGAACGCUGGCGGUAGGCCUAACACAUGCAAGUCGAACGGCAGCACAGUAAGAGCUUGCUCUUACGGGUGGCGAGUGGCGGACGGGUGAGGAAUACAUCGGAAUCUACUUUUUCGUGGGGGAUAACGUAGGGAAACUUACGCUAAUACCGCAUACGACCUACGGGUGAAAGCAGGGGAUCUUCGGACCUUGCGCGAUUGAAUGAGCUGAUGUCGGAUUAGCUAGUUGGCGGGGUAAAGGCCCACCAAGGCGACGAUCCGUAGCUGGUCUGAGAGGAUGAUCAGCCACACUGGAACUGAGACACGGUCCAGACUCCUACGGGAGGCAGCAGUGGGGAAUAUUGGACAAUGGGCGCAAGCCUGAUCCAGCCAUACCGCGUGGGUGAAGAAGGCCUUCGGGUUGUAAAGCUCUUUUGUUGGGAAAGAAAAGCAGCAGGUUAAUACCCCGCUGUUCUGACGGUACCCAAAGAAUAAGCACCGGCUAACUUCGUG